Dreissena polymorpha is the source of this 2223-nucleotide long non-coding RNA. RefSeq lists it as uncharacterized. The transcript is spliced from 3 exons. Lineage: Eukaryota; Metazoa; Mollusca; Bivalvia; Myida; Dreissenidae. The record is from RefSeq and is a predicted model, not a curated record.
CCCAUAUGGGUAAGCCCAUAUGGGCGUCAUUUGGGACCAAUAUGGGCUAGCCCAUAUGGGAAUGCCCACAAGGGUCCCAUAUAGGUCCCAUAUUAUUGCGCUAUCGGGAAAAAUAUGUAAACUUGUAUUUAUUUGAUUAAAAACUCAUUUCUUAAAACGUAUGUAGGACUAACUUGAUCUAAACUGCUAAUAUUCUACCCAAAAAUAGAAAAUCAAUGCAUAAGCAAAUAAUAUGCGGCCCAUAUGGGUCCCAUACGGGUCCCAUAUGGGAGUCAUUUGGGAGCUAUAUGGGCUUGCCCAUGUGGCAAUGGCGAUAAGGGUCCCAUCUAGGUCCCAUAUUAUUGCGCUAUCACGAAAAAGAUGUAAACUUGUAUUUAUUUGAUUAAAAACUCAUUUCUUAAAACGUAUGCUGGACUAACUUGAUCUAAACUGCUAAUAUUUUACCCAAAAAUAGAUGGGUCCCAUUUGGGCCGCCCAACAAAGGACAAAAUCAGCUACCGGGCUGUUUCUGGGCAAACCCAUAUGGGUAAGCCCAAAUGGGAGUCAUUUGGGACCUAUAUGGGUUAGCCCAUAUGGGAAUGCCCUUAAGGGUCCCAUAUAGGUCCCAUAUUAUUGCGCUAUCAGGAAAAAGAUAUAAACUUUUAUUUAUUUGAUUAAAAACUAAUUUUUUAAAACGUAUUUAUGACAAACUUGAUCUCAACUGCUAAUAUUUUGCCCAUACGGGUCCCAUUUGGGCCGCCCAACAAAGGACAAAAUCAGCUAUCGGGCGCACAUUUUUUUGAAAAUUCUGUUUUUGAUAUGGCUUUGUUUCAAAUAAUGUAUAUACUAUGAUUAAUAUGAAGUCAUUUUCAAUAGAUAAUUUUAAUUUAAAUAAUCGCGCAGAAAAAUAAAGUAUUUAAAUAAUAUGCGCAUGCGCAGAUGUUAAUUCCGCCUCGCGAAAACAUCCAAAACAAAACACUCAAAACGAAAAUUAAAUAUUCACCACCACCUGGUUUGCCAACAUCGUCUUUACAAGGAAUGUCCAGCAGUGCAUGACAGAGGCCGGUCACUCCCAUUAAGUCCAGCUGAAGAGCCUUCCCAGUUCAUAGGACAAAAUGCAGUUACACAGAUUUUAACGGUGUUGGAAACAAUGAGAGACGAGAACAGGGAAAUGAAGCGGAUGCUGCAUCGGCUCUUGGCUAGGUCAGCUACUGAUGACGAGCCAAUGCAACUGCCAUCAGUCUUCCGAUUGGAACAUUUGAGCAAAUAGAUGAGUUUGAAGAGCAUCUUGGUGAUGAAGCUACGAUCCAUCUUUUCUAGGACUGCUGCAUAGUUCAAGCUUUUUUAUCAAAUAUAUUAAGCAAUGUUGUAAAUGUAAUUGACAGUUCUUUCUCCAUUGAUCCUAAACCAUUCCUUUAAGGAUCAUUUUCUAAGAAAGCAUACAUUCUUUUUAUCUGGAAAUGAAAUGGUAUAUAUUCCUUUGCAAAAGAAGAAACAGCAUUCCAGUUUUUGAAGGUUUUAAAAGACAUAUAUAUAUAUAUAUAUCAUGUGCAAUUACGAAAAACACUAGAAUGUAUGAAGAUAUCAAAGAUAAUAAUAUGGACUUGUUCUCGAAAUAGGAUUUGCCAUUUAUUUGAGUUUUUUUUAUUUUUCUGCAGGGUUUUUAAUUUCUAGUUUAUAAAAUAUUUUGUUUAGUCUUGCAAGUAUGUUUUCUACAAAUGUUCUUUGAGUACAUGGUGUGUUAUUUGUAUUGGUUAAAGAUUUAAUAUGCAUGGGUAUGCUUUUGAGUAAUGUGUAGUACAUCAGGAAAAUACUUGAAGGUAUUCUGUAUAUGUAAUAUAUAUUUUAUAUCAAAAUAAUAGGAGUCCUUAAUUCUAUAGUUGUAUAACUGGUCAACAUAUAUAAUGUUAUAGAAAAACGUCGUAUUGUUUGAAGUUAUGUCAUUAUUGUUCCAUAAAAUAGUUCAACUGUUGGUUUGGGUUUAUAGAUUAUGAGUAACAUUACUCCAUGCGGAUAGAACAUUAGAUAGAAACAUGUUUUCGUUAGCAACUUCAUGUAAAAUAUUUUUGCUGAUGUUACAUUCAAAAAGUUAGGAAUCACCAUAUUAUUUUAGAAUUCUCUGGUAGAAUAGUUAACGUGGGAUCCUCCUGCUAUUUAUGUAUGUAUCCAUGUAUAUGUGUGUAAUACUUUAUGUGAAUAAAAGUUGAGAGUACUUUAAUAAAUUUUUAAGUCUUUUAACAAAAA